RNAcentral lists this long non-coding RNA (1084 nucleotides) under Heterocephalus glaber (naked mole-rat). RNAcentral describes it as "lncRNA (ENSHGLG00100036668.1)". Lineage: Eukaryota; Metazoa; Chordata; Mammalia; Rodentia; Bathyergidae. The record is from RNAcentral.
GGGAAGAGUCUGAGACCCCGGAGCCAGCGUCCCGGCCCGCGGGCAGUCUCUCCCCGUCCACCACCCGCCCCAUGUGUCAGGCUGUUCCCUCCGAUGGUCACCACCGCUUCCCCUGGUGGCCCUGUCCCGCGGAGCGGCUGGGCCCGGACCGCCCUGGCGCGCGCGGCCACCAGGGGGCGCUCGGGGUCUGAGUCGCUGCUGACCUGGGCGCUCAGUCCUUAAGGUUUUCAUCCGGAGCUGCUUGGGAACCAGGUUCUCCUCUGAGGACAGGGACACAAGUGGGCCAGGCAGACAGAACCGCAGCUCUGUGACCCAGGAGUGGCGAGGGGACGAUUUCAAGUCACCAUGUGGUAGCGCACUCCUGUCACCAGGGCACUUUGGGAGGCUGAGACAGGAGGAUCCCAAGUUCAAACCCAGCCUGGGCUACUUAGGGAGAAUCAGUCUCAAAAUUUUAAAAGUUUAAAAAGGGCUGGCGAUGUAGCUCAGUAGGAUAGGCCCUAGGUUCAGUCCCAGCAUUGAGAAAAAAUGUACAAACAGCAAAAAAGAAAGCGAGCCCUUCCUUUAGCCACCCCUGGCAUGCAGCCGGGGGACUUGGUGCUCGGGGGGACCCUGGGGCACUCACCACACACCAGACCCAGCACAGGGGCGCGGAUGCACAGUGCCACGCGGACAGCGCUGGACACGGAUGCUGCCCACAGACGCAGGCACAGCGUGUCCCGGCCCCAUGCCCCGCCCCUUAGCCACCCAGUCCUGGUCCUGCAACGUGUGGCCUGCUCUGCCCCCAACUUGGGGCGUGGACAGUGAUUCCCUAAUUGCCAGCAAAGGGUUCCUGUCCUCAGCGCCUCCCUAGGCCUGGUGCCACCCAUCCCCUGCCCGUGCCCAUGCCCGCCCAGUGCCAAGGCCACAGGGAGGGACAGGAGGGGACAGAGGCAGAGCCAGACUUUCCUAGGAAGUCUGAGAGGGUUGUGCACAGCUAGGGGCAUCAGAGCUGGGUUUUGUAGGAUGACCAGGAGUUCACUGUGAAGCUAGGGGUGAGGCUGCUGCAGAUAGAAGGCCAUUGUGGGCAGCUUCCUCUCAGGCUGCU